UUUCAGAGGUAGAAACAUUUCUGGAUGACCUAUCCAUGGCUGAACUGCCACAAAACUUCAACAUGCGACGGCAAAAACUCGAAUCCAAAGUGAAGAUGCUCCGAGCAAAAUAUCACCUGCACUUACACAGAAUGUCUUUAGCCUCGCUACGGUUUGCGUGCGAUCCUUUUCCGAAAGAUCUCGAAGUUAACAAGCGACCUCGUUCGCUGACGUCACCCGAUACCAUGACAACGUAUCUCCCGGACGUACCGGAAGAGGAGGAGGCGUCUUCUCCGGGACCUGAGGCGAAAAUAUUGGACCAAAGCAUCGUUAUAUGUGAUGAUAAUGAAAAUAUUAUCGAUGGUCUACGGCCGCGUUCUGCAUCUUUUCCAUUGACAUUGUAAAAUAUGGUUUAGGAUUAGGUUUUCAAACUGGAAUCUAUUGGUGGGGCUCUAUCAGUGAACUCUAUAGGUAAACUGGAACGAUAACUUCCUUUGAUCGGUUGAGCCAAGCUGCGUGGGAUAAAUUAACUUUCAAAAGGACUAGGGAGAGUUUGAGGAGCGGGAAAUUCAGUCAAAACUCAAAAGUUUGAUUUUGAGCAAAAAUUAGCAAGAAAAAGUACUUUUUAAUUGUAAAGAUUCAAAUCUAGUUUUCUGGAUAGUCAGUAUUUUACAUCCACUAACAGCAAAAACCUCCUGGGUAACAGUUUCCUAUUCAAAAUAUUACACAAGUUUGAACGUACCGAAAAAAACUUCGCACUUUGACUCCUGAGAAAAGAUCUUUAAAACUGCUCUACGUUUCGGAAACAUGUUUUGUAUUAAAUUUCAAGUAUUGUUCAAAGUUUUUAGCGUUUUUCCUUGUUGAAAUACAGCUAUUUAGUGCUCGAAAACAGAUGUCUUUUAGGCGGCGUAUUUUCCAACAUGGCGGCCGUCAAUUUGGCUUCCAAAGAUGGCCGGCCAAGUUAUCGUUCCAGUCCUUUUAGAGUUCACUCGGCUCUAUCAGAGCAAUUUGGAGUUUCGACUGGCCAUCCAAAUGACGUGUUCUCAACUGAGCCCAAAUUGCAGAUGGGUCAUAGCAUGUAGCUUAGGGAUUGGUGGAUUUUUGGGACACCCUGCAUUUUCUAACUUAAAAGCAAGUCAACCAUGGGGAAACUAACUGAUUUUUGAGCAAUUUUUGCUGAUAAUCACAUCAUGAUUGAACAGUUGAACAAUUUCAUAUUCUAAUUCUUCCAAUGUCAGCCUAAUGUUAUAGUUCAACGGCCAUUUGCACGUGCCCCUCAUUUUCUGGACAGUAGUAAUGUACUAAAUAAAUUGCGUCAACUGGCCGACGCAUCAUUUGGAUGCGCAGUCGCAACAUUGGUCUAUAAGUAUUACACAGAACAGCAGUGGUACUACACAGGCGUGCGGGCGGUUAUAGAAGGAACACAUCUCUCUAUACAGACUCGCGAAAAUACAAAGUGAAUCUUUAAACUAUAAAUAAAAAUAUAGAACCAUAUUUAUGAAUUUUUCUGGGAUUUCAUUCUUGAAAAUUCAUCGAAAACUCCUUAAUACAUCCUUUCUCGUACAUGGGUAAAUAUCAAGAUUUUGUAGUGCCAUCUCCAGGGACGCCGGAACUGGGGGGGCAGGAGGGGCAGCCGCCCCCGUUGCCCUUUACCAGGAGGGGCAAGGGGGGCAAAGGUGCCCUUUCAAUUUAAAGGAUUGCCUUGGUGAAAUAGCGAAUUGUCAGAAAUGUUAGUGCAAUUCGUUUACGAAUUUGAUUCAGAAAACGCAAGAAAUGCAGUCAUCGAGCUUCAAGAAUAGCACAAUCGCCUGGCGGAGAACCCCCUCACACCCCUAUCAUCCAAUAAAUAGCAAAUAUGAUUAGGUGAAGUUCAACUCCCGAUGUGUUGCAAAAAUCUCUUAGUAUAUAUCAAUUCAAAAGUGCCCUUUCACGAAAAUCUGCCCCCUUGCCUUCAUAUCGUUCCGGCGUCCCUGGCCAUCUCCCUCGAUUGAGUACAUACAUACAUACUUACAUACAUGACUUUAUUUAAACAUGGAGAACCAUCAGUACAUAAUUAUGAUAAUUAGCUAUUUACAAAUAAAAACAAUUAAUAUAGGUUAAGGAAUUAAUUAAGGAAGAAGACAAGAUUGAAGGGAAGAAGGAGAAGAGGUACUGUUCUACUUGGUUGCCGUGUGGGAGUCGGUAAUACUGGAAGAAUAUAGAGAUUUAAUCUAAGAGAUUCAGGCAAGCUGUUCCAAAGUGAUGCUCCACUAUAACUGAACGAGUGCUUAAGAUAAUCAGUAUUGGGCUUAGGAAUAAACAACUUGCCAUUAGAAUUUCUUAGUGAAUAUUGACAAUUCCUGGAUGAAAACAAUUCUUGUAAGUACUGGGGAGAUUGACCAUUAAGAGUUUUAAACAUAACAACAGCUUUUUGUUUAUGACGGUUAAUUGCAGUUUCUUGGUCAAUGUCAUUUGACAAAACUGGGGGGUUCGGGCGUCCGUUGACAUGGUCCCCCGGGAAAUGUUUCUAUUUUUAAGGAAAGCCAGA
RNAcentral lists this long non-coding RNA (2506 nucleotides) under Paramuricea clavata. The record is from RNAcentral. Lineage: Eukaryota; Metazoa; Cnidaria; Anthozoa; Malacalcyonacea; Plexauridae.